RNAcentral lists this transfer RNA (73 nucleotides) under Ovis aries (sheep). It matches the Rfam family "tRNA". From Rfam's summary of the family: Transfer RNA (tRNA) molecules are approximately 80 nucleotides in length. Their secondary structure includes four short double-helical elements and three loops (D, anti-codon, and T loops). Lineage: Eukaryota; Metazoa; Chordata; Mammalia; Artiodactyla; Bovidae. The record is from Rfam by way of RNAcentral.
UCCCUGGUGAUCCAGUAGUUAAGACUGUGUACUCCCAAUGCAGGGGGCCUGGGUUCUAUUCCUGGUCAGGGAA